This 425-nucleotide ribosomal RNA is filed under the name uncultured bacterium. RNAcentral's name for it is "partial 16S ribosomal RNA". It matches the Rfam family "Bacterial small subunit ribosomal RNA", at positions 354 to 796 of the family's 1533-position model. The record is from RNAcentral.
GUGGGGAAUCUUGCGCAAUGGGCGAAAGCCUGACGCAGCCAUGCCGCGUGAAUGAUGAAGGUCUUAGGAUUGUAAAAUUCUUUCACCGGGGACGAUAAUGACGGUACCCGGAGAAGAAGCCCCGGCUAACUUCGUGCCAGCAGCCGCGGUAAUACGAAGGGGGCUAGCGUUGCUCGGAAUUACUGGGCGUAAAGGGCGCGUAGGCGGACAGUUUAGUCAGAGGUGAAGGCCCAGGGCUCAACCUUGGAAUUGCCUUUGAUACUGGCUGUCUUGAGUUUGGGAGAGGUGAGUGGAACUCCGAGUGUAGAGGUGAAAUUCGUAGAUAUUCGGAAGAACACCAGUGGCGAAGGCGACUCACUGGCCCAAUACUGACGCUGAGGCGCGAAAGCGUGGGGAGCAAACAGGAUUAGAUACCCCGGUAGUCC